GGGCCUCGGCCAGGCCUGAGAUGCCGGGAGGGUUUGACCCUGGGGCUGCAUGGACAGCUUAGCGCUCGGCCGCUGGCGACAGCGGAGGGCGGAGGAUCUGCAGGUUCCGGGGGACGUGACAUGUUUUGAGCGCCUGCUGUGUCUCAAGCCCUGUCCUAGGCACUGGAGAUGAGAUGAAGAAACGAUGAGUAGAGGCCUUGCUUACGUUUAUCCUGCAACUCAUGAUGAGGCUUACUCUGCAACUCCAGUGCUCGGCUUUUUACACAACAGAGUCUCUGUUGCCCAGGCUGGAGUACAGUCGCACGAUCUUGGCUCACUGCAACCUCUGCCUCUCAGGUUCGAGUGAUUCUUCUGCCUCAGCCUCCCAAGUUGCUGGGAUUACAGAAACGGGUAUGCAGGAGAUUAGAAGCCAGUGGGCAUGAGCGUGGCUGCCACCAGGUGAAUGCCUGUGCCCUGGCGUCCUGGGGCCCAGAGGACCGGGAGCUUCCAUCAAGAGGCUGCCUCCCAGCACCAAGGCCAGAGAGUGGCCAGGGGAGGCUAAGUACAGGGAUUUCUCAGAAUGGUGGAAGGAGCUCAGCCCAGCCUUGCCCAAGAUGUAUUGCAGGGGAAUCUAUGGAGUUUUGCUCUCGUUGCCCACGCUGGAGUGCAAUGGCAUGAUCUCAGCUCACUGCAACCUCCGCUUCCCAGGUUCAAGCGAUUCUCCUGCCUCAGCCACCCAAGUAGUUGGGAUUACAGGUGUGUGCCACCAUGCCUGGCGACUUUUGUAUUUUCAGUAGAGAUGGGGUUUCACCUUGUUGAUCAGGCUGGUCUCAAACUCCUGACCUCAAGUGAUCCACCCACCUCGGCCUCCCAAAGUGCUGGGAUUACAGGCGAGAGCCACCGUGCCCGGCCAUGACCUUCUUUAGUUCUUUGACCAUAUUUAAAAUGGCUGAGGUGAAGUCUCUGGUAAGUUCAUGUCUGGGCUUUGUGUUCUGUUUGCCCUUCCAGGUCAGAUCCACUGCCCACCUUUCCUGGCAUCUGCACAGGAGGCCAGCCUGCAUGGCUUACAUCCAGGGGGUGCCGGGGGCACCUGGGCUCUCCCACUUCCCUUUGGGCUCAGCCGCUAGGGGGAUUUGGGGCAGGCAACAGGAGGCUGGAGAACGAGGGCAGGGUAUGUGGCCAUGUCCCCUGGCCAGUGUCACUCAGCAGCAUGUGUCAUCUCCUCCUUCCAGGUUCUGGUAGCCGCUGCUGCCCUUUAUCCCUUGGGUCUGGCCCCUGCACUGUCCCUCGCGGCUCCCAGGACAACUUUGUGACAAAUCCUUUUGUAAUAACCCCUUUGUGAGGUCUCCUGUUCGCCCAUGUAUCUGUUUCCUGUUGGGGCUAUGACUGGUACAGAAGGGUGCACGCCCACUUUCAAGUGUUGACGCCUCCAAGAAGGAAGGGAGGAAGAUGAGGCAAGGGUGUGACAGGUGUCCCUCGGCACAGGGCACAGCAGGUGCUCUAAAGACAUUUCAUCAUACAAAGAUGCAUGCUGGUAAAGACGGAUGAUUGUCUUAGAGGUCCAAGCUUUUACUGUAGGCCUUUGUAGAAUUCUCUUGAGAAGGGACAGUGUUUUGUGGUAGUAAAGACGAAUAUGCUGUUAAAGGAAGAAAAAAUGACUCCUCUGGCAGAUGGUAAUGGCAGGAAUCGUCAACAUCUUUAACCCACAGAGGGCUGCUGUCAUCCUGUCACACAGGUACUCGGGGAGAAGCAGAGAGCUAGCCACAGCCAGGGCUCUGCCCAUUAAGGAAAAAUGGCUUCAGCAAAAAGGGAAGGAGAUGUGGGGUGCAGUUCUCUCCUCCCCCAGUCCACAGGGAUGACUUGCAGCUAGAUGUACCAGAGGUGAGGGCAUCAAUCUGGGUGUUUCACGUAAUGGUCCCAGAUGGAGUGAGGUGUGUCCCUGUUGGCCCUGCUGUCCUUCCGGCUCCACAGAGAGGUCAUGGAGAGCCCAGCGAGGAAGGCUUCCAAAAAGGAAAGGGGGACGUUUUGAGGGAGUUCAUGCGUGGUGGCAAACCCCACAAAGAAGCCGUUGCAGUGAGAGAUGAAAGAAGGGCUGAGGCCACACACGUGUGCCCCAAGGGUGUGGAGGAGAAGGCGCUGGGCAGCAGGUGCAACCAGAAGCAGCUGGCCCUGGGCCCUUUUCAUUCCAAGGUUAGAAGCAAAUAAAAACUCCCUCUUCACAAACAUCGUUCUCUUGCUCCGUGGAAUUGUGUUUUACCAAAAGUGGAAAAGGGUUUUCCCAUUAUUGCUGAUCAAAUCACUUUUCAAGCCUGACCAAACAGGAGGCAAGGCAUUUUAAUUGUCUGCAGUAAGACUCACAGUCGAGGCACAAUGAGCCUGAUGCUCCUCGUCAGACCUGCCUCUGGUGGCUGGUGUGGGCCAUCUGUGAGUCCCAGAGUCUGAUGACUUGAGGUCCCACUGGCCCAGCCCCAGUCUAGAUUGGGGUCAGUACGAGGCUUCUCUUUGGGUGUCACUGGGGGCUGCUUGCUUUGAGAGAGACAGAGACAAACUGGGACGUGUCAAGAAGAGAGAGUAGGAUGAUGCGGGGACUUGAGAUCAUGCCAGGGCAGAGGUUUAAAUGAGCAAUUUCGAAAGGUUCCUUUGUGUCUAAGAGAGAGUAGAAUGGUGCGGGGGCUUGAGAUCACACCGGGGCAAAAGGUCUAAAGAGCAAUUUCUAAAGGUUCCUUUGUGUCUAAGAUUCUGGGUCUUGGCCAGCUGCGUUGGUUCACACCUAUAAUCCCAAGACUUUGGGAGGCUAAGGCGAGUGGAUCGCCUGAGGCCAGGAGUUCUAGACCAGCCUGGACAACAUGAUGAAACCCUGUCUCUACC
This 2847-nucleotide long non-coding RNA is filed under the name Homo sapiens (human). Its description in RNAcentral is "non-protein coding lnc-C10orf143-46:7". The record is from RNAcentral. Lineage: Eukaryota; Metazoa; Chordata; Mammalia; Primates; Hominidae.